CCGUGUAUCCACGUACAAACAAUGUGAACUGUUCCCAAAAUGUUGCCUCGGCGGGGAAUUUAUUCAUGCCCCGGGCGCGUCGCAGCCCCGGACCAAGGCGCCCGCCGGAGGACCAACCAAAACUCUUUUGUAUGUCCCCUCGCGGACUUUUAUAAUUCUGAACCAUCUCGGCGCCCCUUGCGGGCGUUUCGAAAAUGAAUCA
Molecule: unclassified non-coding RNA, 202 nt
Filed under: uncultured Trichoderma
Lineage: Eukaryota; Fungi; Ascomycota; Sordariomycetes; Hypocreales; Hypocreaceae
Description: sequence contains ITS1
Source: RNAcentral